ACGGGAGGCGGCAGUGGGGGAUAUUGCACAAUGGGCGCAAGCCUGAUGCAGCGACGCCGCGUGAGUGAAGAAGUAUUUCGGUAUGUAAAGCUCUAUCAGCAGGGAAGAAAAUGACAGUACCUGACUAAGAAGCUCCGGCUAAAUACGUGCCAGCAGCCGCGGUAAUACGUAUGGAGCAAGCGUUAUCCGGAUUUACUGGGUGUAAAGGGAGCGCAGGCGGUAACGCAAGCCAGAGGUGAAAACCCGGGGCUCAACCCCGAGGAUUGCCUUUGGAACUGUGGACCUGGAGUGCUGGAGGGGCAGGCGGAAUUCCUGGUGUAGCGGUGAAAUGCGUAGAUAUCAGGAGGAACUCCGGUGGCGAAGGCGGCCUGCUGGACAGUAACUGACGCUGAGGCUCGAAAGCGUGGGGGGCAAACAGGAUUAGAUACCCUGGUA
Molecule: ribosomal RNA, 435 nt
Filed under: uncultured Lachnospiraceae bacterium
Lineage: Bacteria; Bacillati; Bacillota; Clostridia; Lachnospirales; Lachnospiraceae
Description: bacterial SSU rRNA
Rfam family: Bacterial small subunit ribosomal RNA
Source: RNAcentral